Molecule: long non-coding RNA, 2507 nt
Organism: Chrysemys picta bellii (western painted turtle)
Lineage: Eukaryota; Metazoa; Chordata; Testudines; Emydidae
Source: RefSeq, a predicted model, not a curated record
CUAUGUCCUUAGCUCAACUUGUUGUGUCUACCUGUGUGUACUGUAGCAGCAUGUAUGGCAUGUGAGAUCAUCGCUGUUCUGAAAUCCCCAAUGUUCUGCCUGUCUGGAUCUGAUGCAAUCACCCUGAUAGGAGGGGAAGGGAAAUGGAGGGUCACGCAGAGCCCCCAGCAUGGAGGGGGUAGGAGUGAAUUGGGGACUCUGGUAUGGCAGGAGAGGAGCACACCUGUCAGCUUUGACCAGGGCUGAGACUGAUGGCUGCCAUUAACAUCUUCCAGCAUAACACAAGCUGAACUAUUGACAUAGUGUUUUUCUGUCACAACACUUUCACAUCAUCAUCCCAAUUAAUCUUACUCUCCUGCAGCUCUCCUUGGAGCAUUCCUGUCCCUGCCUGACUUCUCUUCAACCAACCAGGAGUGUCUUUGAAGAUGGUGUCCUGGCUGGUUCUUCCCCUUGGAACUUUCUCAGGGAGCUUUGGAAGUGAAUCAGAAUGGAGCACUUGUCUUCUGAAAUCAUUGGCAUCACCAAACGAGGGUCCAGGGGCUGGUCGAUGGGAUUCCCAGGGACAGCACAAGCACAUGACCACCAGCUACCAGCCAGUGUGAGCUUUCCUAGGAGCAGACACGCACGAGUGCUCAUGCUAGCCCAAGAAAUAGAAAUAGUCCGGGAUCAUAGAAAUCUAGGGCUGGAAGGAACCUUGGUAAAUCAUUUAAUCUUGUCCCCUCCAUGGAUCAGCAUUCAUGUCACACUCCCUGUCAGUACCCUAUUCAAGCCGGGGAAGCUAAUGAUUCAACCAGCUGACCAAAUUUGGUGAUGAAUCCUGCUCACAAGCCACCCGAAGCACAUUGUGCAUACGCUAAGAAGAAGAUCCAAUCCCCUGCACCGAGACCAGGGAUCAGCAACCUUUGGCACGCAGCCCAUCAGAGAAAUCUGCUGGCAGGCUGGGACAGUUUGUUUACCUGCAGCGUCCGCAGGUUCGGCUGAUCCCAGCUCCCACUGGCAACAGUUCACCGUUCCAGGAUAAUGGGGGCUGCGGGAAGCAGCGCGGGCCGAGGGAUGUCAACCCUAGAACUACAUCAAACUUUUGAACAAAACAUUAAGCAUGGCUGGGUUGACUUCCCCAAAAGUAAUCAAGCACCAUCUAGACCCAUUAGGUGCUGUUAAAGGCCAAGAAGGGGCAAUUUUAAAGCUACAGAAUGAGUUUACUCCUAUUAGCAACCCAUUUGCAUAUGAUGGACUGGAGCUCGUUAAUAUCAUGACAAAAGCAGUCUUCAGUGAUGUCAGUCAAAUGGAUAUGUUGGGUCAUGACCAUGUAUGAAACCUUCAGAACCCAAAGACAUAUCCAAGUCUCUGUCAAUCUAUGGGCUCCAAUCCAGAAGAAUAGACUAAAGCUGUGCUCGAAUGCAAAGAGUGAAGGUGGCAGGGACUAUUACAGAGCUAACCACAGAUAGGUCAUUGUUUUAUCAGCUCCUGGUCAUGUCCAGAUCUCAGCAUGUUGUUGAGCUACAUGAGAUUUUAGGAAACUAUGAGUUCUUUGCGGCACCAAAAUUGAUGUUCGAAUGAGAUAGAACAAGGUAUAAGUGCCAGACAAAAAGCAAACUAAUGCACAUCUUGCAUGGUCUUCCUAAACCCACACCUACUGACAACAUGACUGGUAUCUUAUGCCAGCAUAGCAAUCAUACAUGGUAUGGCUGAGGUACAAGAUCUCGACAAACCAGAAACUGUUAACACUUGACAAGAUUUGCCUGAACACUUCAUUAUGAGGCUACAGAGAAAAUACUGGACCUAUGAUGAAAUCCACCUUAUGUUUGAUAUGUAUGCAGAGGAAUCCACUAAAAACAUUUCCAGAAAGAAGAGAGUCUAUUGUGCUGCACCUCUCCAUUGACCCCACAAACAUCUCCAAUGUUACAAUGAAGAAGCUAAUGCCUCGUAUUUGUAUGAAGGAAGAGUUAACUGCAUACCUUUCAGGAAAAAUGCUCCAGCAUGAGAAUUGCUCAAAGAAUUUCAUUGUUGCAUGGCAUUAUGAAGCUGCUGCCUCACACUGUUCAGUGGAGUUUCUUUGUAGUUCCUAUGAGGAUGCUGGCAUGCAAGAUGUCAUUGUAGUGGGGCGGCUGCCCCUCUCCAGCAGAACAGGGGUUAAAAGCAGCCCUGGAGAGGGCUGUGGCUGGGAUAAAAGGAGUGAGAGCAGCUGAGGGAGGCUGGCGAGGUAGUUGGCCCCAGGUGUGGCUGGCUUAAUCAGGCCAUAGCUGGCCCGGAUAAAAGGGCUGUGGGGCCAGAAGACAGGAAAGUCUCACUCUAGUCCUGGAGUGGGUAGGGCUAGCUGCCUGGGAGCAGGGUACCUGAAGUGGACCAGUGCUGGGGAAGGGCAAAAGGAGCUGGGGAGCUCCAACCUGAUAAACCCCCAGGCUUCAGGCCUUGGUGAAGGUCUACAAAGGUACUGGGGCUACAGAGGUGCAGCCCAGGGUUAGGCAGAGGCAGCUGGUCCUAACCCCUUGCCAAUGAUGAGUGGC